This 858-nucleotide ribosomal RNA is filed under the name uncultured bacterium. RNAcentral's name for it is "bacterial SSU rRNA". It matches the Rfam family "Bacterial small subunit ribosomal RNA", at positions 59 to 916 of the family's 1533-position model. The record is from RNAcentral.
CAGUCGAGGGGCAGCGCAGGUAGCAAUACUGGGCGGCGACCGGCAAACGGGUGCGGAACACGUACGUAACCUUCCUUUAAGUGGGAGAUAGCCCGAAGAAAUUCGGAUUAAUACCCCAUAAGAUUGUGGAGUGGCAUCACUCAGCAAUUAAAGAAAUUCGCUUAAAGAUGGGCGUGCGGCUGAUUAGGUAGUUGGUGAGGUAACGGCUCACCAAGCCAACGAUCAGUAACUGGCGUGAGAGCGCGACCAGUCACACGGGCACUGAGACACGGGCCCGACUCCUACGGGAGGCAGCAGUAAGGAAUAUUGGUCAAUGGACGCAAGUCUGAACCAGCCAUGCCGCGUGAAGGAUGAAGGUCCUCUGGAUUGUAAACUUCUUUUAUAUGGGAAGAAACCACUUUUUUCUAAAGGUGUUGACGGUACCAUAGGAAUAAGCACCGGCUAACUCCGUGCCAGCAGCCGCGGUAAUACGGAGGGCGCAAGCGUUAUCCGGAUUCACUGGGUUUAAAGGGUGCGUAGGCGGAUUAGUAAGUCCGUGGUGAAAUCUCCGAGCUUAACUCGGAAACUGCCGUGGAUACUAUUAAUCUUGAAUACUGUGGAGGUUAGCGGAAUAUGUCAUGUAGCGGUGAAAUGCAUAGAUAUGACAUAGAACACCAAUUGCGAAGGCAGCUGGCUACACAGAGAUUGACGCUGAGGCACGAAAGCGUGGGGAUCAAACAGGAUUAGAUACCCUGGUAGUCCACGCCCUAAACGAUGAUUACUCGACAUUUGCGAUAUACAGUAAGUGUCUGAGCGAAAGCAUUAAGUAAUCCACCUGGGAAGUACGACCGCAAGGUUGAAACUCAAAGGAAUUGACGG